AGAGUUUGAUUAUGGCUCAGGAUGAACGCUAGCUACAGGCUUAACACAUGCAAGUCGAGGGGCAGCAUAACGAAAGCUUGCUUUGUGAUGGCGACCGGCGCACGGGUGAGUAACGCGUAUCCAACCUUCCCGCGAGUAGGGAACAGCCCGGCGAAAGUCGGAUUAAUGCCCUAUGUUCUCCGAUGACGGCAUCAGAGUUGGAGUAAAGAUUUAUCGCUUGCGGAUGGGGAUGCGUCUGAUUAGCUUGUUGGCGGGGUAACGGCCCACCAAGGCGACGAUCAGUAGGGGUUCUGAGAGGAAGGUCCCCCACAUUGGAACUGAGACACGGUCCAAACUCCUACGGGAGGCAGCAGUGAGGAAUAUUGGUCAAUGGGCGGAAGCCUGAACCAGCCCAAGUAGCGUGAGGGAUGACUGCCCUAUGGGUUGUAAACCUCUUUUGUUCGGGAAUAAAGUUCGGGACGUGUCCCGUUUUGUAUGUACCGUUCGAAUAAGGACCGGCUAAUUCCGUGCCAGCCGCAGC
This 520-nucleotide ribosomal RNA is filed under the name uncultured bacterium. RNAcentral's name for it is "bacterial SSU rRNA". It matches the Rfam family "Bacterial small subunit ribosomal RNA", at positions 8 to 518 of the family's 1533-position model. The record is from RNAcentral.